RNAcentral lists this ribosomal RNA (253 nucleotides) under uncultured bacterium. Its description in RNAcentral is "partial 16S ribosomal RNA". It matches the Rfam family "Bacterial small subunit ribosomal RNA", at positions 524 to 776 of the family's 1533-position model. The record is from RNAcentral.
UACGGAGGGUGCAAGCGUUAUCCGGAAUUAUUGGGCGUAAAGAGCUCGUAGGCGGUUUGUCGCGUCUGCUGUGAAAACUGGAGGCUCAACCUCCAGCCUGCAGUGGGUACGGGCAGACUAGAGUGCGGUAGGGGAGAUUGGAAUUCCUGGUGUAGCGGUGGAAUGCGCAGAUAUCAGGAGGAACACCGGUGGCGAAGGCGGGUCUCUGGGCAGUAACUGACGCUGAGGAGCGAAAGCGUGGGGAGCGAACAGG